CCCCCUCGCGGCUCGCCCCGCCCGUGCGCAUUGCGCAGGCGCGGCCGCCGCGCGGUCACGUGGCGGAGCAGCAAGAUGGCGGCGCGCGGAGUGUGACCGAGGAGCCCCCCGAGCCCCCGAGCCAUGGUGACGGAGCAGGAGGUGGAGGCCAUCGGCCGCACGCUGCUGGAUGCGGCGCAGCCCCUGCCCGCCCGGUUCCGGGCCCUCUUCACCCUGCGCAACGUGGGCGGCCGCGCGGCCGUGGAGUGGAUCAGCCGCGCCUUUGGGGACGGCUCGGCGCUGCUGAAACACGAGCUGGCCUUCUGCCUGGGCCAGAUGCAGGACGAGGCGGCCAUCCCGGUGCUCAUCGGCGUGCUGGAGGACACGGCCCAGGAGCCCAUGGUCAGGCACGAGGCAGGUGAAGCCCUGGGUGCUAUUGGGAACCCUGACGUGCUGGAUAUCCUGAAACGCUAUUCCCAGGAUCCUGUGGUCGAGGUGGCAGAGACGUGUCAGCUGGCCGUGAGGAGGCUGGAGUGGCUGCAGCACAACAAGGAGAAGCCAGGCAGCAGCCAGUACCUCUCAGUAGAUCCUGCUCCCCCCGCUGAGGAGACAGAUGUUGCCAAGCUCCGGGAGAUCCUCCUGGAUGAGUCCCAGGAACUGUUUGAGCGCUACCGGGCCAUGUUUGCUCUACGGAAUGUGGGGGGCCAGGCUGCAGUGCUGGCACUGGCAGAAGGGCUGCGCUGCGGCAGCGCGCUGUUCCGCCACGAGAUCGGCUACGUGCUGGGGCAGCUGCAGGACGAGGCGUGCGUGCCGCAGCUGACUGCAGCGCUGCGCAGCCGCGCCGAGAGCCCCAUGGUGCGGCACGAGUGCGCCGAGGCGCUGGGAGCCAUCGCCCGGCCCCGCUGCCUGCGGGCCCUGCGCGCCUUCGCCGGCGACGAGGAGCGCGUGGUGCGCGAGAGCUGCCAGGUGGCCCUGGACAUGUACGAGUACGAGAACGGCGCCCAGUUCCAGUACGCCGACGGGCUCUGCAAGCUGCAGGGCUCCUCCUGAGCUGCUCCAGGGGUGCUCAGACUGGGCCUUUGGGCCCAAGCCGGAGGAGAAGGCAGGGAUGGCCGAAGGCCCAGAGGCAGAGUGGCUGGAGAAGGACGAGGUGCUGGUGGAGCAGAAGGUGGAGGAUGAAGGCAGCAGCAUCCUGCCCGGCACGGACAUCCCGCUGCAGCUGCUCGCUCCACGCAGCUCCGUCUCCUUUGCCGACUCCCCCAAGAAGAAGAGGUUCUUCUAGGGUCAGGGGACACCCCUGCCACCAGCUGGACCCUGCAGCCCUGCCUGACCAUUGGGUCAUGGCAUGGCCCUGGCCAUAGGCACUGCCCAGCGCUGGCACACAGCCUCCCCCUCCCUGCCCAGCCCUAGUGCUGCUCUGGGGCUCCUCUUGGGCUGUCAUGCCAAUAAAGCCACUUGCCCCAGCCCUGCUCGCCCCUUGGCCCGGCACAGUGCGGGGGUGGCAGGGCUGGGGCAUCCCAACUUUGCCUGGGGUAGGAGCACCCCUUGGCACAGCCAUGGGUGUGUAAAGGGGGGUGCUUGGGGGUGCAAAGCCAUGGGGUGGGGGUACAGCCCGUGGGGGCAGGGGGCAUGGACAUGUGCACAGGGGAAAAUGGAUCCCCCUCUCGGGAUCCUUGAUGCCAAGUCAGUGUGGGCACAGGGGUCGGGACUGAUGGAUGGACAGCUGGAUGCUGAGACUGGUGUGCCCCCACCACCCCCUCAGUGCCUUGGCACUGCCAGACCAUGCUCAGUGGCACCCAGAGGUGGCCCCAAACUAGUCUGGGGGGACAAAGCACCCUGAAGCCUCCCUUGGGUUCUGGGUGAGGGCACAGCAUGAGGGCUUUUUAUGGACCUGCAGCCCCUGUCUUUAACCCAGGCUGAGGCUGGAUCCCUGUGCCCCCAGUCACCUUCACCCCUUGAGGAAUUGCCACAGGCAGGGUGGCCCUGCCAAAGUCCACUGUCCCUCCCUGGGGUGCUGGUGGCCACCCUCUGCCUCAGUUUUCCUUGUGCCCUGGUGGGUGGGCACCCUGCCAUGGUCUCCCUGAGGUAAUCUGUGAGUAUUUCACUCUUGGCAGUAUGUAGGCACACACUCCCUGAGGACAUGAUGGGGUCCCACCUGGGAUUGUCUGGGGGCAGCUGGCUUGUGCCCAGGGGAGGGCUGGGGGUGGCCUGGCAUUGCCCACCCCUCUGUGGCACCCCAUUCCCAUGGGAUCUGCGCCAGCCCUGCCAGCAGGGAACAGGGGGAACCAGGCAGGGCGGGUACUUCUUCAGCCAUCUGUUCUUCACCUUGCACCCACCUGCCCACCUGUCUGUCUGUCCCUCCAUCCACCUGCCCAGUCCUGGGCACAGGGACAUGCCUGUCCUUUACUGCUGUGCCCCUGGAAGUGGUGGCCUGUGCCAGGGGAGUGGUGCCACGUGCCGGGGUGACAGGAGUCCCAUUGCCAUGGUGCUCGGUGCCACUUUGUCCUCUUGGGGCCAAUAAAGGUGCCCGUUGCCUUGGGUGCAGAGUGCAAGCACAAUAGCAGCAGGUGGCAGAAGCUCACCUCCAGGAGCAGGAUCCAGACGUGCCCCAGCCCUGCGCCCAAAAAUGCCAAAGCUCCUGCAGCCCCUCUCGCUCCUGGUCCUGCUCGUCCUCGCUUCCACCGCCCAGGGACAGGCUGGCACGGGCCCCAAGGUGCUGCAGCCGUGGCUCAUUGGCCUCACGGUCGUUGUCGUCUUCCUCUUCUUCGUCUUCGUGGUGCUGCUCGUUAACCGGCUCUGGAGCCUCAGGAAGAAGAGGAAGGAGAAGGACCACGCGGAGACUCUGGGGACCGACAGGCUGGGGCGCUCCAGCCACGUCAACCAGGCGGCUGAGGACUGGGAGGAGCUGAGCUACGACAGGCAGCAGAACAAGGCCACGUCCUUCUGAGCCCCCCCGCACCCCUCACCCGCUCCGGAGCGCCUCUGACGGGCACCGCGCCCUCACCCCGUCCGCGGGACGCAGAUCCGCGCCGGGUUUUGGCGACAGCCGCGGCCACCGUGGCACCUCCCGCCCGCGGCCGGCCCGGCUGCGACCAAAACCCGGCGUCGAUCAGCCGCUCGCCGGAGCGGAGCGGGGAGGGCGGCGGCAGCGGCGCCUGCCCUGUCCCCCAGCCCCGGCCCGGGGGGACAAGGACAGUCCCCUCCCCAGACGUGCCCACUAAAGCUUUCCCCAGCC
This is a non-coding RNA of Taeniopygia guttata (zebra finch), 3214 nucleotides long. Lineage: Eukaryota; Metazoa; Chordata; Aves; Passeriformes; Estrildidae. The record is from RefSeq and is a predicted model, not a curated record.